UAAGUAAAAUCCACUGUGCAGCUCAGU
RNAcentral lists this non-coding RNA (27 nucleotides) under Homo sapiens (human). The record is from RNAcentral. Lineage: Eukaryota; Metazoa; Chordata; Mammalia; Primates; Hominidae.